RNAcentral lists this ribosomal RNA (253 nucleotides) under uncultured bacterium. RNAcentral describes it as "partial 16S ribosomal RNA". It matches the Rfam family "Bacterial small subunit ribosomal RNA", at positions 524 to 776 of the family's 1533-position model. The record is from RNAcentral.
UACGUAGGGUGCAGGCGUUAAUCGGAAUUACUGGGCGUAAAGCGUGCGCAGGCGGUCUUUUAAGUCAGAUGUGAAAUCCCCGGGCUUAACCUGGGAACUGCGUUUGAAACUGGAAGGCUUGAGUGUGGCAGAGGGGGGUGGAAUUCCACGUGUAGCAGUGGAAUGCGUAGAGAUGUGGAGGAACACCGAUGGCGAAGGCAGCCCCCUGGGCUAACACUGACGCUCAUGCACGAAAGCGUGGGGAGCAAACAGG